Non-coding RNA from Metallosphaera sedula DSM 5348, 305 nucleotides. It matches the Rfam family "Archaeal signal recognition particle RNA". The record is from Rfam. Lineage: Archaea; Thermoproteati; Thermoproteota; Thermoprotei; Sulfolobales; Sulfolobaceae.
CGGUCGGGUAGGGUGGAGGUCUCGCCAGCCUCUUUACCCGCUUGGCGUAAUGCGGGCACCAGUAACCUGCAUAUGGCCGUGCCAUUAAUGAAGGAGUCCAGAGCUUACGAUGAGGAUCGCCCAGCAGGGCUGACGCAUACAGUCUCCUCCUCCGGAGGGAGGUGGAGAACUGUAUUAGCCGGGAGAACCGACUAGGCCCGGAAGGGAGCAGUCGUACCCGGACGUCGGCGCUUGCUGGUCACCGGUCUGAGGAGACUCUGGGUAAGCUCCUCCAUUAAUGCGCGGUCAUAUGCGGGAGCCGACCU